UACGUAGGGGGCAAGCGUUGUCCGGAUUUAUUGGGCGUAAAGAGCGUGUAGGCGGUCAGGUAGGUCCGUUGUGAAAACUCGAGGCUCAACCUCGAGACGCCGAUGGAAACCAUCUGACUAGAGUCCGGAAGAGGAGAGUGGAAUUCCACGUGUAGCAGUGAAAUGCGUAGAGAUGUGGAGGAACACCGAUGGCGAAGGCAGCCCCCUGGGUCAAGAUUGACGCUCAUGCACGAAAGCGUGGGGAGCAAACAGG
Molecule: ribosomal RNA, 253 nt
Filed under: uncultured bacterium
Lineage: Bacteria
Description: partial 16S ribosomal RNA
Rfam family: Bacterial small subunit ribosomal RNA
Source: RNAcentral